AGUGAACGCUGGCGGUAGGCCUAACACAUGCAAGUCGAACGGCAGCACAGUAAGAGCUUGCUCUUACGGGUGGCGAGUGGCGGACGGGUGAGGAAUACAUCGGAAUCUACUUUUUCGUGGGGGAUAACGUAGGGAAACUUACGCUAAUACCGCAUACGACCUACGGGUGAAAGCAGGGGAUCUUCGGACCUUGCGCGAUUGGAUGAGCCGAUGUCGGGUUAGCUAGUUGGCGGGGUAAAGGCCAACCAAGGCGACGAUCCGUAGCUGGUCUGAGAGGAUGAUCAGCCACACUGGAGCUGAGACACGGCCCAGACUCUUACGGGAGGCAGCAGUGGGGAAUAUUGGACGCUGGGCGGAAGCCUGCUCCAGCCAUACCGCGUGGGUGAAGCAGGCCUUCGGGUUGUAAAGCCCUUUUGUUGGGAAAGAACAGCAGCAGGUUAAGACCCCGCUGUUCUGACGGUACCCAAAGAAUAAGCACCGGCUACCUUCGU
This 491-nucleotide ribosomal RNA is filed under the name uncultured bacterium. Its description in RNAcentral is "partial 16S ribosomal RNA". It matches the Rfam family "Bacterial small subunit ribosomal RNA", at positions 29 to 506 of the family's 1533-position model. The record is from RNAcentral.